CCUCAGGCCUCUUCCUCUCCCCAACUAACAACUAUACGGACAAACACAAUACGAGACCAACCACAUACACUUCCAGCAAUAGAACACACCCCACUACAAAUUUCCCCACCAACGAUACCAACUCCAACCCCAGUGCCCCCUCUCUCCUCAACAGAGGAAUUUCCACCUUUAUCAAAGCCCCUGCCAAAAAGACAACCAUCAUACUUACGGACACUAUCACUGGGAAAACAACCGACCCUGAGUGAAACCUAUAACCUUCGCAUACAGACUCUUUCAAAAACACAUCUCCACUCCCUACCCUCAACAUCCACUUUCACUGAUUCUUCCCUUUCCAAUCAAAAAGGAGAGGUAAGAAUAGCAACCCCUAUAACUGAAGAGGAGAAAUGGAAAAGCCCAGUGGGUCCCCCUACUCCCAAAGCAGCCACUCCUAUCAUAGCCCAGGUUCACCACACAGUCAACAGUCAAACAGAAACCAAAGCAGCCACUCUUAUCAUAGCCCAGGUUCACCACACAGUCAACAGUCA
RNAcentral lists this long non-coding RNA (524 nucleotides) under Salmo salar (Atlantic salmon). Its description in RNAcentral is "lncRNA (ENSSSAG00000093325.1)". Lineage: Eukaryota; Metazoa; Chordata; Actinopteri; Salmoniformes; Salmonidae. The record is from RNAcentral.